RNAcentral lists this long non-coding RNA (5807 nucleotides) under Homo sapiens (human). RNAcentral's name for it is "HSALNT0304470". The record is from RNAcentral. Lineage: Eukaryota; Metazoa; Chordata; Mammalia; Primates; Hominidae.
UGACUGUCCUACUGCUGAACAUCUAGUCUGGCUUUCAAGGCAUUGCAAGACCUGACUCCCUCUUCAAACCCUGCUUAUUUCCCCCUGAACCCUCUGAGCAGAUGCUCUGGUUGGCCUAUCCAAUAGUCUUCCCCAGCUCCAAUCCUUUUCUUCCUACUGACAGAGUGUGAAUUCCCACAGUUAAGGCUAAAAAUGCCAGAUACACACUUUUUCAGCCUUCUUUGCAGGUAGGGGUGGGCAGGGCCCCCAUUUCUGGCCAAUGAGGGGAGGCCUUCUGGUAAGGGGGGGUUCUGAUACCCCCUCAAUCAAAAGAGAGACACCUAUUUCCUGUCUUAGCAUCUGCCACUCCCUUGCUUCCUGCAAUUGGAUGUGGUUGAGUGGUUGUUUCUGGAGCUGCACUGGCCGUCCUGUGGCCUGAGGUGACAAAUCUGUGGAUUAGAAGCCACCAUGCUGGCAGAUGAUGGGAUGGAAGAUGACCGGACCUGCGGCUCUCGAUGGGACGGCUGAGCUGUUGCACCAGCGGAGCCCAGCUGCCCUAGGCCUCCCAUUACAGGCCGUCACAGGACACCAUCGGGGGCAGGCCAUGGCUGGCCUGGUUCACUCUUUCUCAUGACUGAUUCAUUCAUCAUGGUCAGGAUGGACUCCCCACUGGCCGCCACAUAUUCCAGGUUUCUGCAGACCUCAGGCUUCGGCUUCUCAUAUCCAACUCCUGAUACCCAUUCAUUUUUCUCUGGGCUUUUCCAAUUUGUGUACACUCUUUAAGGACCAGUUUGAGUAUCGACUUUCCUCUUCCAUGAAUCUUUGCAUACGGCAAUUGGCUACAUUAACUUCUACUUUAAGUACUGAUAUGUUUUCUAUUUUGUGACAAUUCAUCUUCCUUCCCAUCUAGAUUUUAAGCACCUUAUACCACCUUUGUUUCAUUGCAUCUCCCAGGAUAGUGAUGGGAUAAAUAAGUGCUCAAUAAAUCACUGACAAUUGAUGGUGUGAUUGAUCGCUGAUCUAGGACAACUACAACUGAAGCAACAUUUUAGGUCUUCAUUGAUUUGCUUUGCAAUUUCCUUCAUAGAUGACUGGAACAUAAAUCUUCAGUUAGGGCCAGUUCAAAGUUUUCCUGACUCAAAAUAUUGCAUUCAAGAUUGGUAUUUUAUUAACCAGAGUUGAUCAAUUCUGUCCUCAGAUCUGUGUAGAUCUCCAGAGAGAUAGAAAGGAAAAUGCUAUUGGAUGGAGAAAAAUUACUAAAAUAGGAACGAGAACAAUAAAACAACAUGAACACUAGCUGAUAAAGACCCUGAAUGAAAAGGACCGAAAUGAAAUCAGUUGAACUAAGACCGGAGACGGGGGGUCUUCUGUCCUCCGCUCCCUUCUCCAACCAUCCCCUCUGCAAUCUCCCACACUGCAGGCAAAGUUCACGGAAGUCUGUUUAAAAGACUUGUGAACUUUAUAGGGUAAAUGCAUUCUACUUAUAUAUUUAAGUCGUGGGAGUUUCAAGAUAGCUCAAAAUACUUGCUAAUUUUCUAACUGGGGUCUGAAUUUUCUGGUUCUUACUGAGUGAACUUUUUGUGCCUACUUAUAUUCUGUUACCUGAGGCAAGGGUCAUCUUGCUAUGCUUUUAUAUCUUUUUCUUAAUUCUCGCCACAUGUUGUGUCUCUUAGAUCCAGAUUUCAGUUUUAAAUUUGGAACCGGGGGAAGGGAGCUCACAUUUAUUGUGGGCCUACCAUUUGCCAGCACUUUAUAUAAGAAUCACAUUUCAUCCUUCCAGCAGCCGUGUGAGGUGGAUAAUAUUGUUCUCAUUUUAUGGAUGAGAAAACUGAGGCUCCAAGAGGUUAAAUACCCAGCACGAAGCAACUCUGGCGUUAAUCCCCACGGCAGAAACUUUUCAGUUCUAUGUGUCAGAAAUUCAGCUCACACGGGCUCAGCAAAAGAGUGGUUUCCUGAUUCCCAUAACUGAGAGAUGUCGGUACUUCCGACCCAGCAGGACCUAGAGGCUGAGAUGCUGUCCUCAGGACUCGGCCUGGCUCUGUUUCACGCUCCCUCUGUCCCCAGGUGGGCCCUUCCUUACCUCGUAGGGUCCAGAAGGCUCCCAGCACUCCCAGUUGACAUCUCACAUUCUCAGCUAUCCCAGCAGGAAGAGGACUUCUCUCAAUGUUCCACCAAAGGUCCAGAACAGAAGCUCACUGGCCUGGCUUAGACACCAUGUGCUGUGGUCUGAGUGUUUGUGCCCCCGUCCAAAUGUAUAUGUCAAAACUUCACCCCCUAUGUAAGAGUAUUUAGGGGCGGGGACUCUUGAAAGGUGGCAGUGUCAUAAGGGUUGAGGGUUGAGCACUCAUGAAUGGGAUCAGUGCCCUUAUAAAAGAGGCCGCAGUGAACUCUUUUCCCUAUGUGAGAACACAGUGGAAGGACAGCCGUCUAUGAACCAGGAAUCAGGCCCUCACCAGACACCAAAUCUGCUGACAUCUUGAUCCUUAGGCUUCCCAGCCUCCGGAAUUCUCUGACCCAGGGACAUGCUCCUCCUUGAGGAAGCGCACUGCAGGCAGAUCCAUCAGACCUACCGUCAGCUCUGAGGUGCCUUCUCUUAGUCCUUCGUCUAUACAGAUUGUUGGCCACCAUAUUUCGCCCAGGCUGCAGUGGAAGAGCCCUCGGGCUCUGGAGCCUAUGACCUGGGUGAGUGUCUCCUCUUAAUACCACCUCUCAACUCUUGACCUCCGGCAAGUUACUUAACCUCUCUGUGCCUCGGUUUGCCUUAUCUGUAAAUAAAUUGAGGUAGGUGAAGCCCUUAGCACAGUGCCAGGGGCAUAUGCAGUGUGAAAUAAAUGUUAGCUAUUAUUAUUAUUACUUCCUCUGGGCAUGGUGAAAAUGUAAUGAGCUAAUGCACAGAAAGCACCCAGAACAGUGACCAGCAUGGAAGUUCAUGCUUAGUCAAUGUUUGUUGCUGUUAUACCUUAGAAACCAGCAGGACAUACCAAUUGUCACUUCCUGGCCAGGCUCACAACCUUAGCUGUCUGUUCAAUCAACCUGACGAAUUUUUAAAAUAUACCCAUCAAUGGGCCUCAUCCUAGCUCAGUGGGUCUCAGCUUUGGCAGCUCAAUGCAAUCACUUGGGGAGCUUUAAUAGCUAUGGAUAGCUAAGCUACAUUCCCAGAAACUCUCACAGAAAUGGCCUGUAGUGUCCUGGCCGGUGAAAUGUGUCAAAGCUUCCCAGGGGUGGCCAGAGCUGAGAACCCUGUCUUAGGAGGAUCUAAUUGGAAGAGAGGACAUCAUAGAUAAUAUAAUAGUGACAUCAUAGGUGACAGAGGAAAUGCCCGGUGGCUCUGAGACCAGCAGAGAGGUGCAGGCAACUCUCUGGGGGUCCAAGACAUGGUCCCUCGAGGGCCUCCCGGUGGGUAUUGAGCCAAGGAGCAGCCAGUGGUGAUCACAGACUCCAACCAAGGGCUGGGCCCCUCCAGAGUGAGCAGAGCCCUGCUCAGCCAGCUCCUGCAAAUAUCAAUCCUGCAGGAAGGGUUGUGGGGAGAAGACACUGUUCCAACCAACUGACCUGCUGGAUUGGAGGAUCUAGAAACCUACACGUGACUCUGGCCAAGAUAAAAUGCUUCAAGAUUCCUGGGUACGCUCCACAUGGAUGAGGGCUGUGUCUUUUUAUUCACUGAUUUGUGCCUAUAGAAAAGACUUACUACAAGGCAGAAGCAGUGCCAGGCGAGCAACAUAAACGCAGCCUCUGCCUUCGUGGGCCUGACCAUCUAGAGAGGCAUGUGGAUGUGCACACUUGGAGGCCCACAGGGGUACCUGGUUUGUGGGGUGUAGAUGCUGCUCACUGAGCUGGCAGCAGGGUGGGACCACUAGGUUUGGAGCAGGGUAUGGGCUUGUGGGGCAGGGACUCUAAGUAGAGUCAUUCGUUUUUGCAUCUCUAACACAGUAGCUGCCUUCUUGGGCCACAUGUUCGAAUCUCCUAGGGAGCUCUUAAAAAUGACUGAAGCCCAGUCCCCCACCCCUAUGCAUUCUGCAUUCUUUGACCUGAGGGUGAGGUCUGAGAAUGUGAAUUUAAACUUUCUCCUAUGAGUGGACAUAGCUGGGCUCUGGACAAGUGCUCUAAUGCUUAGCAUAGAACCUGAAUGACAGAAGGACUCCACAUGGCAUAUGGAGCCUGGACAGGGAAGUCCUAGUUAUGGCAGUUGGGGGUGCAGGCUGGCCCUCCAACCCCUGUAACCUUCUGGGAUGCUUCCUGGAGGGGCACCAAUCUGGCAUUAAGAUUUGAGGGAGGAGAGAGAAUAGCUGGGGGCCGGGGCAAGAGGCAGGGCUCCCAUUCUUGUAGGCUUGCCGAUUUUGAACAAAUUUGCCAGGCAGGCCUCGCUUGAAUUCUUGGAUGCAGAAGGAAAGGAAGGCUCAGAAUCAGAUGAUGUCCUUCCCCACUGAGCUCAGCCAGGGCUGGCCUUGCUAACCAAGGACGCUGCACCCAAUGGCCUUGCUCCCCUGUAAUCUAUCCGAAGACCCUGACAGAACCCUCAGGCUUAGAAACAGGAGGUGGGUCUUGAGGGCCACUGGAGCUCCUGGAAGAACAAAUGAAUGAGCUCAUUCUUCAAGGGAACGCAGGGCCGGGACAGAAGCUACCGUCUGCCAGAUGCGGCUCUCUGUGCAGCGCCUUUCUGAAGAUUCAGACUGUUCCCAUGGUAAUUUGAGUGAAAUCGUGGGGGAAGCAGCUCAUCACCGCAUGGUCAGUUAGACAUAAAAUGUGUUUUAAAAUAAUUUUCUUUGACUACAUCUGUUAUCAAAAAUCACACCCACCUCCAGAGUAUACAUUGCAAUUUUUAAAAGUGAAAAUUGAGGAAAAGUGCAUUCUUAUCAAAAUAGCCCCCUCUUUUUUUCUCCCCUCUCUCUCUGCCUCGAAGCCAUCAAAUUGAUUCAGCUUAAGGCUAAAUAUAGGGUUGACUAACAAUGAUUUCCACAAGAGCUUUAGAAAUCGCUUGUAAGCGAGCAAACGGAAAAUAGAUCGUCCCACAACCACAUCAACCAAUGUCUGAGACAACAGCCUAAAUCCAGCUGCUGAACUGAAACGCAAAGGAAUGCUCUGUCCCUUGGCUGGCCCAGCAGUUGCAAGGCCCCAGCAGAAGGGGAGACAUCGAUGGCGCCCAGUGCCCUCAAGGCGGGUCUGGCUGGUUGCUGUUUGGAGAUGUUCCCUGGGAGGGGCUGAGGGGUUGCCGUGAGAAGCCCAUUCAUUCCACUGUGGGUCCCAGGGUGGGUUUUCUGGAAAUCAAGUACUUUGUGAGCCCUGGCUCUAUGUAUCAUAGCAAAUGAGACCCUUUGCAUGUUUUGCAUCUCUUAGGAGGCCUGGAGUAUUGGCAAUAGCAGGUCAGAGAGGAAAGGCGAGCUGCUGGCCCAGGAUGCUACAGAAGGGGCCUGGUCAAGAAUCACGACCAAAAUAGCUCCUGUUGACAGGAGAGGCUCCUCUUCAUCAACGCCCCUUAUUAACCUUUGCAGAACACCGUGACUGCUCUGGCCUGGCAGGCAGUUUUAGUACCAUCCUGAUGCCUGGGCAAGACGGGAUCCUCCCUCAGCCCUGUGCCCCUGAGGGCCCCACUCCCCACUCCACAGGGUAAGAGGUCCAGGGCCCACUGGGAUGUGUCCACCUAGAGUUUUUGCCUCACCUUCUAGACCAGGGUUUGCAAAUGACUCCUGGGCCACUAGUUUCCAUUCAGCUCAUAAGCUAAGAAUGGUUUUUAUAUUUUUAAAUGGUUGUAAAAACAUCAAAGGAAGAAUGAUAUGUGAAAAUUACAUGGAAUUUAAAUUUUGGUGUCCAUAAGUAAAGUUUUCCUGGAA